Molecule: ribosomal RNA, 466 nt
Filed under: Neoditrema ransonnetii
Lineage: Eukaryota; Metazoa; Chordata; Actinopteri; Embiotocidae
Description: partial 16S ribosomal RNA
Rfam family: Bacterial large subunit ribosomal RNA
Source: RNAcentral
UGACCAUGAGUUUAACGGCCGCGGUAUUUUGACCGUGCAAUGGUAGCGCAAUCUCUUGUCUUUUAAAUGAAGACCUGUAUGAAUGGCACCACGAGGGCUUAACUGUCUCCUUUUUCCAGUCAAUGAAAUUAAUCUCCCCGUGCAGAAGCGGGGAUGCUAACAUUAGACGAGAAGACCCUAUGGAGCUUUAGACACCAGAAUAGCCCAUGUCAAACACCCUUAUCAAAGGAUUGAACUAAUUGGAUCCUAUUUCAAUGUCUUUGGUUGGGGCGACCACGGGCAAACACAAAACCCCCGUGUGGACCAGGAAUACUUUUUCCUACAACUAAGAGUUACAACUCUAAUUAACAGAACUUCUGACCAGUAAUGAUCCGGUAUAUGCCGAUCAACGGACCGAGUUACCCUAGGGAUAACAGCGCAAUCCCCUUUAAGAGUCCCUAUCGACGAGGGGGUUUACGACCUCGAU